Molecule: ribosomal RNA, 119 nt
Organism: Lepisosteus oculatus (spotted gar)
Lineage: Eukaryota; Metazoa; Chordata; Actinopteri; Semionotiformes; Lepisosteidae
Source: Ensembl
GCCAGCAGCCAUAUCACCCAGCAACUUAUAACUGGCAACCCAGUGAAGCUAAGCAGGUGUGAGCCUGGUCAGUACCUGGAUGGGAGACCUCCUGGGAAAAACUAAGGUUGCUGCUGGAA